AAGACUGGGAUAACUCCGGGAAACCGGAGCUAAUACCGGAUAGUAUCUUGAACCGCAUGGUUCAAGUUGGAAAGACGGUUUCGGCUGUCACUUACAGAUGGGCCCGCGGCGCAUUAGCUAGUUGGUGAGGUAAUGGCUCACCAAGGCAACGAUGCGUAGCCGACCUGAGAGGGUGAUCGGCCACACUGGGACUGAGACACGGCCCAGACUCCUACGGGAGGCAGCAGUAGGGAAUCUUCCGCAAUGGACGAAAGUCUGACGGAGCAACGCCGCGUGAGUGAUGAAGGUUUUCGGAUCGUAAAACUCUGUUGUUAGGGAAGAACAAGUGCGAGAGUAACUGCUCGCACCUUGACGGUACCUAACCAGAAAGCCACGGCUAACUACGUGCCAGCAGCCGCGGUAAUACGUAGGUGGCAAGCGUUGUCCGGAAUUAUUGGGCGUAAAGCGCGCGCAGGCGGUUUCUUAAGUCUGAUGUGAAAGCCCCCGGCUCAACCGGGGAGGGUCAUUGGAAACUGGGAAACUUGAGUGCAGAAGAGGAGAGUGGAAUUCCACGUGUAGCGGUGAAAUGCGUAGAGAUGUGGAGGAACACCAGUGGCGAAGGCGACUCUCUGGUCUGUAACUGACGCUGAGGCGCGAAAGCGUGGGGAGCGAACAGGAUUAGAUACCCUGGUAGUCCACGCCGUAAACGAUGAGUGCUAAG
Molecule: ribosomal RNA, 700 nt
Filed under: Metabacillus idriensis
Lineage: Bacteria; Bacillati; Bacillota; Bacilli; Caryophanales; Bacillaceae
Description: bacterial SSU rRNA
Rfam family: Bacterial small subunit ribosomal RNA
Source: RNAcentral